AAUGUAAACCAGACGGUCCAUCCACUGAAGACUAGGAGGCUUCUCUCAAAGGCACACGGAAGUACUCGGGCCUUUUAAAAGGAGUCUGCUGCGAAUGGCAAAGCUGCUGAAGGACAGACAAUGCUGGCGUGCUUUUCAGUAGCCGCGCAACAUCCCACCGGCUUAACGACAGCUUUGUUUCUUACAAGGAUGAGGAGAGUGGUUCCCCCUGCAUUGGCAGCGAGCGAAAGAAACUUACAUGGUGAAUGUGCAGGUUAUCUGGGAGGAUGUCUUUUUCAAGCCGUCACCCGUCUCCUUCGAUCUAAUAGGCGUCGCAAAGUUGGACCUUUAGAUUGUUGCGUCAACUUGCUUGCGGGAUAGAGCGUCUUCUUUCUGUACCAUCUCUUGGAUCAAGGCAGGGCGCGCUGCUGGUUCACAACUCUCUA
This is a long non-coding RNA of Selaginella moellendorffii, 425 nucleotides long. RefSeq lists it as uncharacterized. The transcript is spliced from 2 exons. The record is from RefSeq and is a predicted model, not a curated record. NCBI's taxonomy places the organism in Eukaryota, Viridiplantae, Streptophyta, Lycopodiopsida, Selaginellales, Selaginellaceae.